CAGCAGAAAAAGUCAAUGCUCGGAUGCAGAUGGCUCAGGAAGAUGGCUUCCCUUUGAUAACGGACAGUGUACCAAGAUCAAUACCAUUUCACCAUCAAACACACCUCUAGCCAGACCUACACAGGUGAACCUAUCUGUAAGCCUGCUACCCCCAGGCCAGACCUACCAGUGUGUAUUUGAUACCACAGCUGUCAGUGCAACAGUUACUGGGGGGAACUUGGUGACAUGUGACACACCCACCAGCUUGCCUACUAUACCAACUGGGGACGAUCACAUCACAAUACCAUUAUCUAUCAAAUCAUUAGCGACAGGAGUCAAGUUUCUAACGACCAACUUCACAUAUUUUGACUGCGGCGCACACUCAGGGUGUGUGUCUUGUACCAGCAGUAGUUGGGCCUGUGACUGGUGUAUAUAUGCUAA
Molecule: long non-coding RNA, 420 nt
Filed under: Lingula anatina
Lineage: Eukaryota; Metazoa; Brachiopoda; Lingulata; Lingulida; Lingulidae
Description: uncharacterized LOC106160235, transcript variant X2
Source: RNAcentral